UAAGGAAUAUUGGUCAAUGGACGUAAGUCUGAACCAGCCAUGCCGCGUGGAGGAUGAAGGUCCUCUGGAUUGUAAACUUCUUUUAUCUGGGACGAAACACUUCUUUUCUAAGAGGCCUGACGGUACCAGAUGAAUAAGCACCGGCUAACUCCGUGCCAGCAGCCGCGGUAAUACGGAGGGUGCAAGCGUUAUCCGGAUUCACUGGGUUUAAAGGGUGCGUAGGUGGGUAGGUAAGUCAGUGGUGAAAUCCCCGAGCUUAACUUGGGCACUGCCAUUGAUACUAUAUAUCUUGAAUACCGUAGAGGUAAGCGGAAUAUGUCAUGUAGCGGUGAAAUGCUUAGAUAUGACAUGGAACACCAAUUGCGAAGGCAGCUUACUAUGCGGUGAUUGACACUGAGGCACGAAAGCGUGGGUAGCAAACA
This 422-nucleotide ribosomal RNA is filed under the name uncultured bacterium. RNAcentral describes it as "bacterial SSU rRNA". It matches the Rfam family "Bacterial small subunit ribosomal RNA", at positions 355 to 774 of the family's 1533-position model. The record is from RNAcentral.